Polypterus senegalus (gray bichir) is the source of this 1267-nucleotide long non-coding RNA. RefSeq lists it as uncharacterized. The transcript has 2 exons. The record is from RefSeq and is a predicted model, not a curated record. NCBI's taxonomy places the organism in Eukaryota, Metazoa, Chordata, Cladistia, Polypteriformes, Polypteridae.
AAACAAUUACGACAGCUGCUAGAGGUUUACACGAGAUAGCAGAGAGACUCAGACAUUCAUUUCAUAGCACAUUUACUCCAAGGGUGCAGGAAUCUUCAGUCUUACCCAGCAGUGUUGCCUACAAGCAAGGAAUCAACUCUAGGCCAAGUGCCACUCCAUUACAGGGGCACAAAUGCACACAGAAGCAAAAGCGCACUGAGAAAAGCAAAUGGUGACAAACACAGGCUGUGACAACUGCAGUCAAUAAUGUUUAAACAUUACAAGAUAAACUCUUCCAAUUUUUCAUUUCAUAACAUAUGUAUAUCAAUCCAAUGUCAAUUAUGAUCUUUAAGCGUCUUAGAAAUUGUGAUUUUACCACUGGAAAGAUUGUUUUAUUUAUCAGAAAGAAUAAAAAGAAAAAAUCUGCCAAAGCAAAACAUGUACUGCAAGGAAAAACUUUGUUCACAAAUGGAGAGGAACCACUAAACCAUAUAAUUAAAAGUGUAACUAUAUUAUGCUGUUUAUAUCGCUACAUUAUGUGCUAUCACUCACAAAAGCAGCACCUGUUCAAAUGUCAGCAUUGACUGUUAAGGUGGUAAGUAAGCUGGUGUGACCACCAAAUACCAGACACAAUUUAACCAAACACAGUAUAAGGUUCAAAUAAAUAAUAUUUAUUUAACAACUACAAUUUCAGAGGCUCUCAGGUCCAGCACAGUAUGAUUAUUUCAAUAAGCACACUAUGUGUCCUUCCAAUCCUCCUUUGCGAGCUUUGCCCUCUACAUCCCGACUCUGACUCUGAGUGGCUUCUUUAAUGUGGAGUAACCAAGCUAGGAGUAAGCCUAAGGAAUACUGCCACUUCUAGCAAUGGAGGAUGAAUUCUUCCCAAUAUCCAACCUUCCUCAGACUAACCAUUCCUCAUUCAUCCCCCGGCUGAGUUAUGCCUCCACUCCUGUGGCUCUUCUAUUAUGGACCCUUGCCAGGUGGAGAAUUAUCCUGGACCCAAGUCCGGAUGCCAGUCCAUCCUUUUUGGCACUUACACUGGACAUAUCAUAAUAGUUGGACACCUCUAGCUCUGAAGUGGAAGUAUCCACCAGCUCUUCAGAAUCAUCAAACACUUCAUUACAAGGCAGAAACCUUAAAGGCCACGGUGUGUCUCUCCAUCACCCAUUUGGUUCAGGCAUACGCGCAUAUACUACUCACCAGUCCAGGAGGAUAAUGAUGUCAGACGAGAAGGAGCCACCUAUGGAAACCUUUAUAUGCUUAUGGCUGUGAAGCGGCAGUGUUCGUU